Molecule: unclassified non-coding RNA, 447 nt
Filed under: Hevea brasiliensis (rubber tree)
Lineage: Eukaryota; Viridiplantae; Streptophyta; Magnoliopsida; Malpighiales; Euphorbiaceae
Source: RNAcentral
UUUUUCAUGGCCUCCGAGCAGGACGACACGGUUUUUGGCCACGACCUCGACGAUGACGACGACGAAUCCUCUCAGUCCCAAGAUGACGAUGACGAUCUUGAGAACGACGAUGUCAUGGUUGAAAACGACGACGUUCUAGCCGACGAGGAAGACGAAGAAGACCUCAACUCUGUCUCUCCUUCUAUCUCCUCCCCUGCUACUGUCCCUGUCGCCGUCCCCUCCGCCUCUGCCGUCACCAUCGCUGUCCCCAACGGCGUUGACCCCCCCUGUGCUUCCGUUCAGUCUGCUUCUGACCCCAAGCGUCAACGCGUUGAGACGACGCUGGUUAUCCACCAGCAAGAAGAGAAAAAGCCACAACCACAACAAAUGGAUGAAUCGAGACGGCUGUUUCAACGAUUAUGGACUGACGAAGACGAGAUCGAGCUCCUCCAAGGGUUUCUUGAUUAC